CCUACGGGUGGCAGCAGUGGGGAAUUUUGCGCAAUGCUCGUAAGAGUGACGCAGCGACGCCGCGUGAAUGACGAAGGCCUUCGGGGCGUUAAGUUCUUUCGACAGGGAAGAAAUGCCUGUAAGUAACUGUGUAUGUAUUGACGGUACCUGUAUAGGCAGCCCCGGCUAACUCCGUGCCAGCAGCCGCGGUAAUACGGAGGGGGCGUGCGUUGUACGGAUUGACUGGGCGUAAAGAGCACGUAGGCGGUUUUGUAAGUCAUUAGUGAAAGAAUAGAGCUCAACUUUAGUAAGGCUAGUGAUACUAUAAGACUAGAGUACAAGAGAGGAUGGCAGAAUUCGUGGUGUAGCGGUGAAAUGCGUAGAUAUCACGAAGAACACCGAUAGCGAAGGCGGCAAACU
RNAcentral lists this ribosomal RNA (399 nucleotides) under uncultured bacterium. RNAcentral describes it as "partial 16S ribosomal RNA". It matches the Rfam family "Bacterial small subunit ribosomal RNA", at positions 338 to 730 of the family's 1533-position model. The record is from RNAcentral.